CCUACGGGUGGGCAGCAGUGAGGAAUAUUGUUCAAUGGCCGGAAGGCUGAACCAGCCAUGCCGCGUGAAGGUCAGUGCCCUAUGUGCGUUCAACUUCUUUUGUGCGGGAGCAAUAAUGGUCACGUGUGGCCAGACGCGAGUACCGUACGAAUCAGCAUCGGCUAACUCCGUGCCAGCAGCCGCGGUAAUACGGGGGAUGCAACCGUUAUCCGGAUUUCUUGGGUUUAAGGGGUGCGUAGGCUGUGAGGUAAGUCAGCGGUGAAAUGCCCCCGCGCAACGGGGUGAAGUGCCAUUGAUACUGCCUUGCUGGAAUGCGGAUGCCGUGGGAGGAAUGUGUGGUGUAGCGGUGAAAUGAAGAGAUAGCAGAUAGAACACCGAGUGCGAAGGCAUCUUACGAAUCCGCGAUUGACGCUGAUGCACGAAAGCGUGGGUAUCAAACAGGAUUAGAUACCCUUGUAGUC
RNAcentral lists this ribosomal RNA (461 nucleotides) under uncultured bacterium. RNAcentral's name for it is "partial 16S ribosomal RNA". It matches the Rfam family "Bacterial small subunit ribosomal RNA", at positions 338 to 795 of the family's 1533-position model. The record is from RNAcentral.